This 251-nucleotide long non-coding RNA is filed under the name Olea europaea (common olive). Its description in RNAcentral is "long non-coding RNA (OEUR_LNC012703)". The record is from RNAcentral. Lineage: Eukaryota; Viridiplantae; Streptophyta; Magnoliopsida; Lamiales; Oleaceae.
GCUACUCUACAUUAUCAAGUGGUACGGUUGUUUUUUCAGUGGAGUAGUCACCUCCCCAAUAAGCUUUCAACCGUUGUCCAUUUACUUUGAACCUCCUUUGUUGAUCUUGAGACACCACUUCCACAGCACCAUAUGGAAACACAGCUACUACUGUGAAUGGACCCGACCACCUGGACUUUAGCUUUCCCGAAAAAAGCUUGAGGCGUGAAUUGAACAUCAAUACUUGUUGACCAACCUCAAACUCCUUCUCC